Molecule: ribosomal RNA, 357 nt
Filed under: uncultured Sphingobacteriales bacterium
Lineage: Bacteria; Pseudomonadati; Bacteroidota; Sphingobacteriia; Sphingobacteriales
Description: bacterial SSU rRNA
Rfam family: Bacterial small subunit ribosomal RNA
Source: RNAcentral
ACAAUAUACAAGGUGCUGCAUGGUUGUCGUCAGCUCGUGCCGUGAGGUGUCGGGUUAAGUCCCAUAACGAGCGCAACCCCUAUCAUUAGUUGCCAUCAGGUCAAGCUGGGGACUCUAAUGAAACUGCCUACGCAAGUAGUGAGGAAGGUGGGGAUGACGUCAAAUCAGCACGGCCCUUACGUCCAGGGCUACACACGUGCUACAAUGGCCGGUACAAAGGGCAGCUACCUGGUGACAGGAUGCUAAUCUCAAAAGCCGGUCUCAGUUCGGAUCGGAGUCUGCAACCCGACUCCGUGAAGCUGGAUUCGCUAGUAAUCGCGCAUCAGCCACGGCGCGGUGAAUACGUUCCCGGGCCUU